CAGAACCCUCCAAGCAGACACAAUGGUAAGAAUGGUGUCUGUCCUGCUGUCUCUGCUGCUGCUUCUGGGUCCUGCUGUCCCCCAGGAGACCCAAGAUGGUCGUUACUCUCUGACCUAUAUCUACACUGGGCUGUCCAAGCUUGUUGAAGAUGUCCCCGCGUUUCAGGCCCUUGGCUCACUCAAUGACCUCCAGUUCUUUAGAUACAACAGUAGAGACAGGAAGUCUCAGCCCGUGGGACUCUGGAGACAGGUGGAAGGAAUGGAGGAUUGGAAGCAGGACAGCCAACUUCAGAAGGCCAGGGAGGACAUCUUUAUGGAGACCCUGAAGGACAUCGUGGAGUAUUACAACGCCAGUAACGGUCAGUGAACAACAGACCACAGGGGCGGAGGGUCUAACCCAAGAGGCAGCCCCCCAGGUGUGAGUGGCAAGGGGUCAGCAGGAUGGAAAUAGUCCCAAUACCGCGAAGGAACAGGAGACACAGCAGAAACACAGACAUGUCUGCAUCCCGCCCACCCCACAGCACAGAGCUCCCCACUU
RNAcentral lists this small RNA (538 nucleotides) under Pongo abelii (Sumatran orangutan). RNAcentral's name for it is "retained intron". Lineage: Eukaryota; Metazoa; Chordata; Mammalia; Primates; Hominidae. The record is from RNAcentral.